RNAcentral lists this ribosomal RNA (671 nucleotides) under Rhizophagus clarus. Its description in RNAcentral is "partial small subunit ribosomal RNA". It matches the Rfam family "Eukaryotic small subunit ribosomal RNA", at positions 357 to 1042 of the family's 1831-position model. The record is from RNAcentral. Lineage: Eukaryota; Fungi; Glomeromycota; Glomeromycetes; Glomerales; Glomeraceae.
GGGUACGGGGUGUUAGGGCACGACACCGGAGAGGGAGCCUGAGAAACGGCUACCACAUCCAAGGAUGGCAGCAGGCGCGCAAAUUACCCAAUCCCGACACGGGGAGGUAGUGACAAUAAAUAACAAUACGGGGUUCUUUCGGAUCUCGUAAUUGGAAUGAGUACAAUUUAAAUCUCUUAACGAGGAACAAUUGGAGGGCAAGUCUGGUGCCAGCAGCCGCGGUAAUUCCAGCUCCAAUAGCGUAUAUUAAAGUUGUUGCAGUUAAAAAGCUCGUAGUUGAAUUUCGGGAUCAGUAGGCUGGUCGUGCCACCGGUACGUACUGGUCUNACUGAUUCCUCCUUCCUGAAGAACNGUAAUGCCAUUAAUUUGGUGUUGCGGGGAANCNGGACUGUUACUUUGAAAAAAUUAGAGUGUUUAAAGCAAGCUAACGCUUGAAUACAUUAGCAUGGAAUAAUGAAAUANGACGAUCGAUCCUAUUUUGUUGGUUUUCUAGGAUUGACGUANGAUNAAUAGGGAUAGUUGGGGGCAUUAGUAUUCAUUGUCNAGANGUGAAANUCUGNAUUUAUGANACUAACUACUGCGAAAGCAUUUGCCANGGAUGUUUUCAUNAUCAGAACGAAAGNUAGGNAUCGNANACGAUCANAUACGUCGUANUCUNACCAUAACUAUGC